Molecule: long non-coding RNA, 6092 nt
Organism: Mercenaria mercenaria
Lineage: Eukaryota; Metazoa; Mollusca; Bivalvia; Venerida; Veneridae
Exons: 6
Source: RefSeq, a predicted model, not a curated record
UUUUAGAGAGUUGUAUAUAAACCAGAUGCGAACGAUUCUCAUAAUCUGGGUACAGCUUUUUACAGUGAUGUUGCGAAAGAUUUACUUACUCAUACAGUGCCUGUUUCUGGUCGAUUUGAAGUUAGUUUCAGCCAGCGGUCGGUGUGAGUCAUAUCCAUGCCUGAACGAUGGCGUGUGUACAGAUACUUCUAAUGGGUAUGAGUGCGCUUGUCAUAGAGGAUACUCGGGAGAACACUGUGAAGAUGGUGGCAUAAUAGAAGUGUCCGAAUAUGGUACUACGGAGGAUGCUGAGUUUGAGGCUAACCAUGCAAAGCUAUACAAACAUUGUUGGCGACCACUCAACAACUUCAAGUUUUCAGUGAAGGCAGAAAAAGAUGCCGAAAUACUGCUUCAGACUUCAUCUGACGACUUUACAUCGUCCGAAGCUAAUUAUGUUAUUAUCAUCGAUGGAUGGGGAGGGACGCGUACUGUCAUCGUUCAGAACAGUUAGACUAGAUAUUUCAGGACUGCUAAGUGCGUAUGAAUACAGGGACUUCUGGGUAUCUUGGAAUGACACAACUAUUUCCGUUGGAAAAGGUGAUACCAUUGGUUCUGAAGUUUUCAUCACAUACACUGAUGAGUCUAGGUUAAUGGAAAUCAAAGGUGUAAGUUUCGGAUCGGUAUGGUAUACUGCUGCUGACUGGAAGUUUCCCAAAGGCUUAAAUGAAUGUGACGUAGAUCCUUGUGACAACUGUAAAGUGUGCGUUGAUGGUAUAUACAACUAUACAUGCAUAAAGUAAACCAGAGAAUGAUUCAAACGGAUGAAGACCUUAACUGAUGACUGACUUCUAUUGCUUUUUAUCUCUAUUUCUAUCUUUAUUUUAAUAAGUGUUGUUUUACAUGAAAAUUGCACAGCCUAUAAAAUAAAUACAUUAUUCUAAAAACCGAUUGUCAAUUUACUGAUGGAUGCUUGAAUUCCCAAAAAAGGGACCACCGAGUGCUGAAAUUUCGAAUAACUAGAUUAAACAGUGUUUUUAGAAAUUUUGAAAAUUAUUUAGCUCUAUUUUUAUUUCUUUACAGAUGGAAUUCUGUUUUAAAGGGGGAUAACUUCUAGAGAAUAUUUGAUGUCAGUACGGGACAAUGCGUAUAAACAUUUAUUGGACCGAGAAUUUUUGAGAAGAUGUUGCUCGUUUCCCAACAAUUGUGAGGUGUUCAAUUUACGGUUCAUAAUAUCUUUUUUAAGGAAUAAUUAUGUCUGUUACAUGAAAGUCAAUAUGUUCACUUCUUGAUAUUAAACUGUGAAAUAUUGCAUAUUACGGACGAAUAGAAAAAUGAGUCCUAAAAUUGAAAAAUAUGUAAGUUUUUCGUUGAUUUACUUAUUUUUCUAUUUGUCUGCCAUACAUACGUAUUUUUGACAAAUUGCCAUUUGCAAUUAAAUCUAAGGGAAACAACUAUCAUAAGCACGUACAUAAAGAAAUUCAUAAAACGGAAGUGAUUAAUCCAUAAAAAGAUAGUUAUAAACCGAAAAAUUCAGUUCUUACAAUUGUUUGCAAACAACAUCUUCACCGACAUUCUAGUUAUCCAGUACAUGCUUUCCCGUUGUGUCUCGUACUGUCUCGUAUUUAGAAUAUUUUCAAAAAGUUUCCCCCCUUUGAAAAACAAUUCCAUUUGUAAAGAAAUGAAAACAUUUUUUUUUUCAAAAUUCAUGAAAACGAUUUUAACCUAAUUGUUCAAAUUUCAGCAUCCGGGCAUUGCUGCAAAAGAUCAAAUCGAACAUGACUGUGCAACAAUUUUCUGCAAAUGGUAAGAUUUUAAAGGGACGCUAAACUGUCCAGACGUGUGGCUCCUUAAUGUGGUCACUUUUUGGAAAUUCAAGCAUCCAUCAGUUCAUUGACAAUCGGGUUUUAGAAUAUUAUACCUAUUCUGUAAGCUGUUCAAUUUUCAUGUAAAACAACUCUUUCUUUCUAUGAUUUGAUGAUGUCAAAGAUCCAUCGAAUCUUCAAACAACUUCUCAUGAACUGCCUGAUGUUUUUUUCUUUUUACUUUGCAUAAACCUCCCUCAGCUUUGAACACCGAGAAGUAAAAUUGUAUUCCUAUCAUAGUUUAAGUGCUGUGCAACGUCAGGACGUAAAUUCAAUACAUCAGUUAUGUUGGCGCCUGCAGUUUCUCUUGUUUGCUAAGGCGUGGCAACACUAUACUUGAUAACGUUUGGAAUAAUAUGUAUUUUCUUGUUAGUAUGAAAGUCCAACAUACUCAUACGACAUAAAAAUUGCAAGAAAUGAUUGAAGCUUCAUGUUCACUUGAAAAAUAUUGCAUGAGAGCUUACGUCAAUUUAUAUGUAAACGGAAAUCAACUGAGUGCAGCUGAAUGGUAUUGGUUUACUAGCUCUGUUCUGGAAAUUUGAUCAGUGCUGUUUAAAUGGUUACAUAGUUACACGAGAAAGAGCCAAGAACGCUUUCUGUUUCGACUGAGUAUAUAAAUGAAAAUAUCUUUAAGUCUGAGUGCAAUUGAAGAUAUCGCCUUAAGGUAGUUCUGCACGUUUGAUAAACCGGAAGUGAUGGCGUAACGUCAUUUAUCCGGAAAACGUAUAAUAAAGCCUGGAUUCGGCGUACGGAAAUGAAAAUCAGUUUAUGAAUUAAAGGCAACAUGUGAAAAAAUUGAAAAAUAAAUUGUAACAGUCUCUAUCUUUCUAAAGUUAUGAUAUGAUAUUAAAACAUUUGAAACGUUUAAUAAAUCAAAAUAAUGUCUUAAAAUUAGCUUCAAAUAGGCGGCUCAUUUUAAUCAUGGCCAAAUAUCUCAGAAGUAAGCACACGGACCUAUACAUUUUAUUUCACUAUAUUAUAGGCCAUAUGUUUAUUUAAGACUGUGGGAAGUUUCAUUAAAAUCUACAUUGUGGAAAAUUUUCUAUUCGCGAAGAUGUUACGAAAGUUGCUAUUUUCCCAUAGACUCCCGUUAUGAAAAAAUGCAUGAGGUCCAAAUUUUUCAAAUCAGUCUAGCAAAAAAAUCAAGCACACGACCCUAUCCUUUUUAUUUGCUGAAUUUUCUAGGUAUAUUCUGAAGUUUUGAAAAAUCAGAGUUUAAUCAAAUUCUACAUUGUAGAAAAAGUUUCGAUCCAAACGUGCAGAACUACCUUAAAUGAACAUUUAAACGCACUGACUCACGUUAAAAUGACGUCGAAAAUUACGUCACACUAGUUACAAAAUUUGCAUGUCAAUAUGAAAUUAAAUAGUCUGUUGCAAGUUGUUGAUACAGAUAGAGUAUCCAGUUGGAUGAUAAUUGUUUUGAGUAAUGAGGCGUUGGUCAAGCAAAACAAAAAGCUGUCUGUUUAGCAUUUUUGUGGUACCUUAUUUAAACAAAAUACGAAGUCCUAGUUUAGCUUCAUCAUCUUUAAUCAUGAACGUUGAGCGACUAUCAAGGUAUUUGUUAGUGUUCGUUCAAGAGGGUGUAUGGGGCAGGUUUUAGGAGAGGGAAUGGAGCCAUGCAUGCCUUCCGGGCAACUUAAGACUGCCUAGUACAACCAGAUAGUAAGUUAAAAGAGGUACAACUCCCAUAAUCCUAAGCUGCAAUAUAUACAUGUAUACAAUAGUAUGCAGAAUCGUUUAAACAGGAUGAAGGCAGGUGUGUGCAGUUAUGAGUUAAACAUCGAUACAGUCAACGCCGACCUUAAUUCAGACAAUGAUUCAAAGCUGAUGAUUACUUGAGAUGGCAACGUGUACCAUUCCAGUUGACAACAGUCCUAGGUUGUAACUAUCAUCGUAGGUAAAAACAACGUGACUCUGUUGUCUUCAGUGUCUGUUAUAGGUAAAUGAUUACGUACCAAGAGAUUUAUAAUACAAAUAAUGUGCAAUUUCUUUAAUUUUUAAAGCACUGCAAUUACACCAUUUCCAGAUAACAUAACUAUGCUGAUGAAAGUUAUCUUAUUUUGGACGAAAUCAGUGUGUAUUUAUAAGCAAUGACUGGCAAUGAAAAUGCAUUAAUUUUGAAAGAUAUUUCAAAAGCUGAAUGUUUUGCAGAAAAGUAUUUUUUACACUGAUUUAUAGUAAGAAUUCCUAAUAUAUCACGUUUUUCCCAGUAUUUUACAAAAUGAUUUGGAGCAAUCGCAGCCACGAUCGGUGCUUUGUGCGCUUUGAUGUAGAGUAGGCCAGAACAGUGUUUAAUCUAAAAUAUCGUAAUUUGAAAUAUCGUAAUCAUAACUGACCGACUGACAAAAAUUAAGAUACCUAGUUAACGUUAAAGUAUCUAAGUGGAAAGCCAGAUAAUGACUAAAUAUGUGACAUUUGUAUGACAAAAUUCGAAAUAAAUAAAUGGAUAAUAUGAAUGGCAGAAACAUGCCACUAUAAUAAAGGAAAAUAUUUGCUGAUAUAUCAUCUGAGGAUAAUUACAUAGACAAUACCCUAUAUAAAUUGUGCCCUUUGUAACAUCAUUAUCAAACCAUUUCGGAACGCACAUAAAACUAACAAGCAUGUUUUUAAAGGGCAAACCCGUUAUUUUAACUGGGAACAUUACGCCACUUUUGAUGGAAUUAUACGCAAGUGUAUCAUUGAAAUUCCAAGUGCACCGUCGUAUGAACAUAUCUGCGGAUGUCUCUUAAUUGUUUUUUGUAUUUGUAGCAUGUGUAAAUGUUGAGUUCUGCUCAACCUGUGGCUAGAGGGCGUGGACGGUAGCAUGCAUUUCCUCUACCGUCCAUGAACAGGCUCAAUCAAACCAAGCUUGAAAUAUUUUUUAUUGUUGUCGUGUUGAACGACCUGUGUAGUCUCAACAUUUUCUAGAGGACUCCGUAGCAGAGUGGUUAAGGUCGCUGACUUGAAAUCACUUGCCCCUCAUCGAUGUGGGUGUAGAAUUCUUUACGUCAGGAAGCCAUCCAGCUGACUUACGUAAGGUCGUUGGUUCUACCCAGGAGCCCGCUCGUGAUGAAAUAAUGCACGAUUGGGCAUCUGGGGUCUUCCUCCACCAUCAAAGCUGGAAAGUCGCUAUAAUUGUGUCGGUGCGACGUUAAACCCAACAAAAUAAAAUAAAUAAAUCAACAUUUUCUAUUUCUAUCAGACUAUUAAAAGUAAAAACAUAUAGAUCACAGAUAAUUAAAAUAUGAAUUAUACCAUGGUCUGACAAUUAAAAUGAUAGAUGUCAAAUAGAAGCUAUAUCGGGUGCACUUUAUUGUAAAGUUACUUUACUAAGAGCGGGUCAGAUUAUAGUUUGUAAUUUUUAAUCAGAAAAUCGUGCGCAUAUGUUGCUUAAUUGUCAUAUACAUAGGUCGAUUAUAUGAGGAUGACUUUUACGGUUAAAAGUUUUUAUUAAGGACCACUUUUUAUUUCACGAAAGCAGUCAGAUAUUAUUUUCCAAAUUAUUUCACGUUGAAAAAGAAGCAAUAGUUUGUGGCAAUUACAGUCUGCCGUGCAGGGUCAAUUAACCCUUAACAGAGUUCAAAAAUAUCGUUUCGUUAAACUUUUUUCACGUUUCCUUCACAAUCUAACGUAACUAUUUGGUGUUUCCUUUUGAAACACUCAGAUGCAUACUAAAAAAACAUCGGACAAAAUAAACUUAUUUUGAUUACAAAAGAAAACAUUUUAAAUAAACAAGACUCUUAAGUUUCCAGGAAUAUGUGAGGCGUUGUAUUCUCUGUUUAGAAACAGUGGUUAAAUUGGUUACUUCUAACAGCUGAAAUAGAAUUUUCGAAUAAAUGUUACCCUCGGGAUGAGUGUACUUCAAUGAAACUAUAUAUAGUGACCGUUCCAUUUCCUAAUUAUCCUAAUAUGAGCUAUUUCAAAUAAUAUGACUGGUUUAGCCAACACGUUCAUACAUCGAUGAACAACUUUCAUCAUUUUUGUAUGCGUAAAUGCUGAAACCGGUAUCAAUAAUAGCCGAUAAAUGGAGAUCACUUAGUCUCUAUGAAGUUAGCAGAAUAACAGAAUAACUCUAGCGGAAUAGCACAAUAACUCCUGCAGAAUUACUCGAGCAGAAUAACAGAAUAGCAGAAAAGCUACCGUUUUGUACGCCGUUGCUCACUUUUGUGCGUAAACGGUUUGGAACUGGGCUUUGAAUUAAGACUUUUCUGACAGAGUAUUCAUUUGCCCAAAUGAAGGCCAAUCAUUGAUAAAGAAAUAUUUUCUUGAAAA